UGGGGAAUCUUGCGCAAUGGGCGAAAGCCUGACGCAGCGACGCCGCGUGUGGGAUGAAGGUCUUCGGAUUGUAAACCACUGUCGCGAGGGACGAAGCUCUGACGGUACCUCGAAAGGAAGCACCGGCUAACUCUGUGCCAGCAGCCGCGGUAAUACAGAGGGUGCGAGCGUUGUCCGGAAUCACUGGGCGUAAAGGGCGCGUAGGCGGCCCGGUAAGUAGGGGGUGAAAUCUCAUGGCUCAACUGUGAGGCUGCCUUCUAGACUGCCAGGCUUGAGCACAGUAGAGGCGAGUGGAAUUCCCGGUGUAGCGGUGGAAUGCGUAGAGAUCGGGAAGAACAUCGGUGGCGAAGGCGGCUCGCUGGGCUGUUGCUGACGCUGAGGCGCGAAAGCGUGGGGAGCAAACAGGAUUAGAUACCCUAGUAGUCCCUGAGCGGGCUGGCAAGGCGCAU
Molecule: ribosomal RNA, 449 nt
Filed under: uncultured bacterium
Lineage: Bacteria
Description: bacterial SSU rRNA
Rfam family: Bacterial small subunit ribosomal RNA
Source: RNAcentral